UGACUAUCUCUUCCGUCUCGAAAAAACGCCGUCGUUUGAAUUUAGACUCAAAUCUUUAACGGCAGUUAUGUCUCCGUCGACGGUGGCGAUUUUCGUCGGUCCAAUCUUAACGGUUGACGCCGCCGUAUCUCGCGCAAUUCACACGGCGGCGAAGCCAUUCCUCCCACCGUUUUUGCUCCUCCUCCUCGAAAUCUCAGCUGAUUUUAGAUUCUCCUUCCCUGUAUCCCUUUCCCUGCUCCUCUCCCCUCCAUUACGAGCUUUCCUCGUCCCGUUCCUCCUUGGCCUCCUCUUUGAUCUGAUCUUCGUCGGAAUCGUGAAAUUGAUCUUCCGUCGUGCUCGUCCCGCUUACAAUCACCCUUCAAUGUCCGCUGCUGUACCAGCUGAUCACUAUUCCUUCCCCUCUGGUCACGCGUCUCGCGUCUUUUUCGUUGCUGCAUCUGUUCACUUCUUCUCAGCUGUUGUAGAAGCUCCCAUGGUUAGUCCAAGCUACACUUUCUUAGAUGGAUGGGUUAGAGAUCAUAACGAUGGCGAUGUGAAAGGUGAGGUUGUGGUGGCUGUAUGGAUCUGGGCAACAUUGACUGCGAUUUCAAGGAUUCUCUUAGGGAGACAUUAUGUUCUCGAUGUAGCUGCUGGUGCUUGCUUAGGGAUUCUAGAAGCUCUCUUUGCUCUUCGAUUUCUGAGGUUUGAUGAAAAGAUCUUUGGAAGGUUGCAGGAGAUGUGUGUGCAAUUGGACCCACCCUGCAGUAUGUAAGAGUCUGUCUUCUACGUCUACACUCGUGGAGCAAACUGGGUGGAAGAUAUUAUUUUUAAAAUGGCUAUAAGUGAAGCUUGAAUGAAAGCUGUUUCUACAGCAAUUCCUGCAGGGAACUCUGUUGAUUAGACUGAGAAAACAGAGUCAAGCUUAGAUGGCAAGGAGGUGUAAAGUCCCGAUCUGAUUAUUCAGUUGACAUGACUCUUUCACGGUAAAAAUUCUCUCUUUCUAAGUUUUAUCCACCAUAUUGGUUCUCGGAUUGGUUCUUGAUGUUUACCAAAUAAACCCGAUACCAGAAGCAACCUGUUAUGAGUUUGGAGUGAGAGUAGGAGUGUGCUGUGAAUUAUGGGAUUGGUAUGUGUUGUUUUCCUUGGAUUGGUUCCUGUCAUCAUUUAUGAGGGAGUGUUUUUGAAUUAUGGGAUUGGUAUAUGUUGUUUUCUUUGUUGUUAUGUAUGCUGCAAAAGUAGAGGCACAGAAAGUAGGAUGGUACAUCAAGAACAAUGCCCACCAUUGGAAAACUCUUUUAUCAUGAGUUCACAUGGUUCUCUCCUGUAGAUAAAACAAGGACAUACCUUGUUUCAACCUUAA
Molecule: RNA transcript, 1339 nt
Organism: Capsella rubella
Lineage: Eukaryota; Viridiplantae; Streptophyta; Magnoliopsida; Brassicales; Brassicaceae
Gene name: probable lipid phosphate phosphatase beta
Exons: 3
Source: RefSeq, a predicted model, not a curated record